GAUCUGUGAUAUAUGAAAGAUAAGCUGGAAACAAAAAUGGAAGGGAUAGGAGGAGCAUCUUCGGUGAGGAUUGAUAGGAAAUCCUCCAUAGAUUCCGAGCCCAGAACUUUGAGCAUCGAUCAAAUCCACUAUGCCAGGGAGGCAGCGCUGUAUGUGAUCAAAACUAUGUCCAUUGAAGAAGCAAUGAGUAUUUUCACGCAGGUAAAGCAAAGCCUAGCAUUGGAAAGAGAGAACUCUUGAUCGGUCAUAAAUUUUACAGAGUUUUAUAUGAAUGAUCACGAUCACUAAUUAUAUAUUUUUGGUUUCUUGAUUUCAAUGAUAUCUGCCAUAUGCAAGAGGCCCAAAUCCUUUACCAUGCACGCAUGCAUGCGGCUUAAAGUUAGAGAUCAUGGAUAACCCUCAUGAUGAUCCUUUGGUAGUUUGAUGCAUACAUGCAUAGGGAUUAGAACCAGUUGUUAGUGCUGGAAGGUGUAAGAAAAAUAAUGCAAUAUUGAUAGAUACAGGUGAAGAGCUGGAGCGUGCAGCUGGAGAUCAUCACCAUCUACCUGGACGCAGGGAUAUUGCAUCUGCACCUUUCUAGUUUUUUUUUUUUUUUUUUCUUUUUUUUUUAAUAUUUAAUUUUAUUAUUAUUAUAUCACAUACCAUGCCAAUUUUUUAUCGUCUUCUUCUUAAUUUUGAUCUUUUGUCAUGUAAAGAGGUUCGUCAUGUAUAGGAUGGAAUUUUGCCAAAUUUCCAUGAUCAUCCUAUUUGAUUGUUUCUCAUGAUCAUAUUUUCAAGAUUUUUUUAAGUUAGAAAAAACUCCCAUGAUUAUUAAUUGUGACGUACGAAUAUUGUUCAAAUAACACUACUUAUAUAAAUGACGUCA
Molecule: RNA transcript, 865 nt
Organism: Carya illinoinensis
Lineage: Eukaryota; Viridiplantae; Streptophyta; Magnoliopsida; Fagales; Juglandaceae
Exons: 3
Source: RefSeq, a predicted model, not a curated record